This 492-nucleotide ribosomal RNA is filed under the name uncultured bacterium. RNAcentral's name for it is "partial 16S ribosomal RNA". It matches the Rfam family "Bacterial small subunit ribosomal RNA", at positions 29 to 507 of the family's 1533-position model. The record is from RNAcentral.
AGUGAACGCUGGCGGUAGGCCUAACACAUGCAAGUCGAACGGCAGCACAGUAAGAGCUUGCUCUUACGGGUGGCGAGUGGCGGACGGGUGAGGAAUACAUCGGAAUCUACUUUUUCGUGGGGGAUAACGUAGGGAAACUUACUCUAAUACCGCAUACGACCUACGGGUGAAAGCAGGGGAUCUUCGGACCUUGCGCGAUUGAAUGAGCCGAUGUCGGAUUAGCUAGUUGGCGGGGUAAAGGCCCACCAAGGCGACGAUCCGUAGCUGGUCUGAGAGGAUGAUCAGCCACACUGGAACGGGGACACGGUCCAGACGCCUGCGGGAGGCAGCAGUGGGGAAUAUGGGACAAUGGGCGCAAGCCUGAUCCAGCCAUACCGCGUGGGUGAAGAAGGCCUUCGGGUUGUAAAGCCCUUUUGUUGGGAAAGAAAAGCAGCAGGUUAAUACCCCGCUGUUCUGACGGUACCCAAAGAAUAAGCACCGGCUAACUUCGUG